Molecule: ribosomal RNA, 253 nt
Filed under: uncultured bacterium
Lineage: Bacteria
Description: partial 16S ribosomal RNA
Rfam family: Bacterial small subunit ribosomal RNA
Source: RNAcentral
UACGUAGGGUGCGAGCGUUAAUCGGAAUUACUGGGCGUAAAGCGUGCGCAGGCGGUUUUGUAAGUCUGUCGUGAAAUCCCUGAGCUCAACUUAGGAACUGCGUUUGAAACUACAAGACUAGAAUAUGUCAGAGGGGGGUAGAAUUCCACGUGUAGCAGUGAAAUGCGUAGAGAUGUGGAGGAAUACCAAUGGCGAAGGCAGCCCCCUGGGAUAAUAUUGACGCUCAUGCACGAAAGCGUGGGGAGCAAACAGG